This 2457-nucleotide long non-coding RNA is filed under the name Gossypium barbadense (sea-island cotton). RNAcentral's name for it is "long non-coding RNA (GBAR_LNC015369)". Lineage: Eukaryota; Viridiplantae; Streptophyta; Magnoliopsida; Malvales; Malvaceae. The record is from RNAcentral.
GAGAUUUUGUUCCCCCACUUUAAAUAUCAAUUCUUUCGUCUUGAAGGGGCAAAACUUUUGAAAGAUAUUUAAUAUGAAGAUUUAUGACAACCUAGUAUCUUGAUCCCUCUACACAUGUGGGAGGGGCUUUCACUAUUCCUCUUCAUCCAUUUGUCCAAAAGGUGUUAAAAUUUUAAGGUGUUUCUCCUGGCCAACUAAUUGUGGCUUUUUGGUGUAUCAUGUUUAGAUUCAUCAAUUUUUGUAAGGAAAAGGGGAUAAAUCCCCUCCUAAAGGUCUUCUAAAAUUUCUUUACGUUGUCCGGAGGGACCAACAAGGGGGGAAAGUCUCAUCUGGUUUUUCAAAAAACAAAGAUUACCAUAUGUCAAUACUAUUUUGCAUGGGCAGGUGAGUAAUUUGGGUAUUAACUGCUCUAAAUACGUGGAUGUACAACUAAAACAAAGAUGGAGUUUGAUUUUUCCAUCCAUUAGAGCCUUCCUUCUUCAGAUUUGUCAUCCUAUGUUAGAGGGUGACAUUGAGGCCGAUUUUGAAUAAGACAAAUCGAUUAGUUGUUCCUAAAACCAUUACACUUUGAAAGGUCUUCAAGUAUCUUCUCAAGGAUGAGGAAGUGUAAGGCUAUCGAGAUGCUGAUUUAGCGAGUGGUUUCAAGCCUAAGAAAUGAGACAAGUCUUAGAAUGAGAGCGUCUUCUAUGACGAGGAAAAUGAGAUUGUUGAAAUCCUCUGUGGGGACAUCCCAACGCCUUAGAAAUUCUUUAAAAUUAGGAAAAUAUGCCUUAGAUGUGGUUAGGGGUUUCGAAUGGUAGGUUGAUUGAAUAUUUACCACUACUUCCUUCGGAUGGUGGUUACUUUGGCGAUAUUUGUGACUAGAAUGAGAAAGAAAUUACCGAUAAGAAACUUUUGUUUCCUUCCUGUUAGUAUAUUUUUAUUUUUUGUGUUUUAUUUAUGCUAGUACUAAUAUUGUUCUCACUUUAUUUUUUUCAGAUUCAAACGAAUACAGUAUCAUAGACACCAAAGGCCCUGUUACUGAUGCUAUUGAUCCCACUACUUUUGGGAUGAGGGGUGUUAUUCCUUCGAAACCCCUUUGAGCUAUUCAGGCUCUACUUGCCCUAAAAAAGAAAUCCCCUCUGCAUCCCCCAACCAAAAGAGGGAGGGAUGGAACAGUAAAAGGGCUUUCUUUCGUAGGAGGAGAUGCUAUAAGAAAGUUCCUUUCCGGUGGUGACUUAAAUUCAACAAAAUCCCCUUUUGGUACUGAAGGGUCUACUACUCUCGUUUCUCUUUCCAUUGCUAUUGUUGUACCAACGCCAUUUGACGAUCUACAAUUAAUUUUCAAAGGUCCACCCGAUAAGCAAUUUCUUAUUAUUAUCAUCUUAUUGAAGCUCUUUGGAUGGUCCUAAUAUGAUAUUUGUGCACAAGCUUUAAAGAUAUCUUCAAAUGGCUAAGGGUUGCUAUUGAGAUGUCGAUGUAGGCUAUCACACAGGUCAUCUAAUAUUGCCAAUGCUACUAAAGACAAGGCCUUGGCUGUAGCAGAGAAGUGGAAGGCUUCUAAGAAAAAGGCUCGUGAAGAUGCCAAGUUUUGGUAGGGUAAAGCUAAAAAGUACAAGACUAAACGAGACGCAACUCAAGUAGCAUUGAAACUAGAGUAACGGGUUCAUACCCUUACCAAGUCCCAACUUGAGGAGAAGGUUGUUGAGGCCUCUAAUUUGGGCAUGAGGAAAGCCAUCUUGGGGAUACAGUUACACAAUGGGCCUAUCUACAUGUAUGAUUUAGAUCUAAAUCCCUUCAAAGUAUUACGAGCUAUGAGGAGAAGAAUAUUGGGUUUAAUAUUUUCAACCCUAAUGGUCCUAUUGGGAUGAGUUGUCAUAGCCAACACCCAGCCUGGUAAGAUAUUAUCCAUUUUAGACGCACAUGACCCCCCAUGGCUUUAUUCUUAAGAGCCCUCAUAGACCCCCAAAAGGCCUCUUACCACUUAAAUGUUGUCACCCUUUUAUAUAGCUCAAGCCUUUCCCAUGUUUUACCGAUGUAGGAUUUUCCUAAGGUGUUACAUUCACCCCCUUAGGGACUCAACGUCUUCGCUGAGGUUUUCUCCACCAUUGCUCAAGAGGCACAACGAGUAGCUCUGAUACCAAUAAAUGUCAUAGCCAACACCCAACCCGGUAAGAUAUUGUCCACUUUGGACGCACAUGGCCCUCAUGGUUUUGUUCUUGGGAGCGCCCAUACACCCCAAAAAGCCUCUUACCACUUAGGUGUUGCUACCCUUUUAUACAACCCAGGUCUCUCCUAUGCUUUGUCGAUAUGAGAUUUACCUAGGGUGUUACAUGAGUAUUCAGAGAAAAUGAGGCCUCUUUGUGUACCUAAUAUUCUUAAAGAGGAAACUUCAGUGGCCCAAAAUGGUGUAUCGAGUGGGAAACCUAAGGCUCCGGUUAGUGGUAAGGAUCCUCCUAGUAAUGAGCUUGUUGAAAG